This is a non-coding RNA of Lonchura striata (white-rumped munia), 246 nucleotides long. NCBI's taxonomy places the organism in Eukaryota, Metazoa, Chordata, Aves, Passeriformes, Estrildidae. The record is from RefSeq and is a predicted model, not a curated record.
GUAGAAUGGAGCCAUUAUGUGGGGGAAUAGCACGGCAUAUACAGAUGUCAAGUGAAAUUCCUUUAAAACUAGCCUUUGAGGAGACAUUAACUCAGCGUUCUGAGAUGUCUUAGUCCUUUAAGAAAACACUUUUUCCUGAGGUAUUCAACGUCAAGAGGCACUUGCUCCUCUGUCACUUUCCAGGUACUUGGGAGUAAAAAGUCUGUCUGAGAUGAAGAAGGAAAAAAAAAAUUUGACUUCUAAUGG